RNAcentral lists this ribosomal RNA (119 nucleotides) under Pteropus alecto (black flying fox). The record is from RNAcentral. Lineage: Eukaryota; Metazoa; Chordata; Mammalia; Chiroptera; Pteropodidae.
GUCUACAGCCAUGCUACCCUGAACAAGCCUGAUCUCGUCUAAUCUCGGAAGCUAAGCAGGGUUCGGUUUGGUUAGUACUUCGAUGGGAGACCACCUAGGAAGACAGAAUGCUAUAAGUC